UACGGAGGGGGCUAGCGUUAUUCGGAAUUACUGGGCGUAAAGCGCACGUAGGCGGCUUUGUAAGUCAGAGGUGAAAGCCUGGAGCUCAACUCCAGAACUGCCUUUGAGACUGCAUCGCUUGAAUCCAGGAGAGGUGAGUGGAAUUCCGAGUGUAGAGGUGAAAUUCGUAGAUAUUCGGAAGAACACCGGUGGCGAAGGCGGCUCACUGGACUGGUAUUGACGCUGAGGUGCGAAAGCGUGGGGAGCAAACAGG
Molecule: ribosomal RNA, 253 nt
Filed under: uncultured bacterium
Lineage: Bacteria
Description: partial 16S ribosomal RNA
Rfam family: Bacterial small subunit ribosomal RNA
Source: RNAcentral